Molecule: long non-coding RNA, 4370 nt
Organism: Triticum aestivum (bread wheat)
Lineage: Eukaryota; Viridiplantae; Streptophyta; Magnoliopsida; Poales; Poaceae
Exons: 4
Source: RefSeq, a predicted model, not a curated record
UAUUUUGCUUUGUAGUCUGCUUGAGCCGUGGCUCGCGUCCGUCACGGAAACUGUGUGGUGGAUCAGAAACAUGUGCACGCAAUCAGCUCGGUCAAUGAAAUGUGGGACACUCGAAAUAUCUCGGUCCCAGUUCAACCUUUCUCCACCCCCUCCUAUCUAGCUCGUCGGCGGAGAGCGAAAAAAUGGCGGCGGAGAGCUGCAUGGGGAAGGUGCUGACCUGCGAGGCAACGGACUCGAAUUCCUACUGGAUCCGGUUGACAGGUGAUUGCGGGUGUUGAGCAGCCAGAUCCAUUAAUUGGUGUUGAGGGCCGUCGGCCGCGGCUGGCCCCGACUCCUCGUGCGCAGUUGUGGUUGGAUUCCCCGGCGGCUCUGCUGGGCAGAGAGAUUCCGGCGGCAAGAGGAAGGAUUCGCCAACCCAGUCCGAGGGACAAGUUGAACCCAGAGACCUGAAGGUUGAGAGUUGGACGUGUACCUCCGGAUAGGGCACCCUGCCCUGUUUGAGUCACUCAAUUAGAAGAAACAAUCAGGAGGUACGCUGAUAAACCAUCGGACAAUGUAGUUAAGGCGUGAAGCCACAGAUUGGGCUGAAUUUUGACUCCCUGAGGAUCACUUCACUAAUAUGUACAUUCAACUAAGUAAGAGUUUGUAUAAAAACAAGACCAGCCCUGAACAGGCAUUCACCUCCCUGCAGUAGCGUUUAUUUGGGUAAAAGAAGGAUGUGGUGCAUCAGAUCCACGAAAUUUUGCUUUUUGACUACAAAGGGUCAACGAUUCUAAAAAAAGACCAAUAUGAUAGCUUGCACAAUCGGAUUCUAAGAAUAUGGGUCUCAUGAGCACCGAGGGUUAACAAGUUAAAAGCUCCACGGAAGAAAACAUCUCCCUAGGAAACAAGUGAACUACAUAUUUCAAAGAGAACCAUACAUGCACAUUUAACCGUUGCAAGGAAAUAUAAAAAGAUUACUAAAUAAGCAAAUUUGGGUAGUCAAGUAAGUUAUAAAUCAUUAAGAAAUAUUAGGCAAACAAAAGUUUUGACAUUUAUCCCCAUAGGAGUUUGUUCACUUCUUUGCUCGAACAACAUUACCCCAUCAACAAAUUAAUUUGUAUGUCCAAAAUAGCGUUAUUUGCACCGAGCAGCGCCAUUAUGGUUCAGUGUAUUACGUUCUCCGCUAAUGAAAUAAAUAUGCAGCUUGCAAACAAUAGAACGGAUCCAUGUCUACUACCCUAGUAAAGCAUGUAACGGUUUGAAGAUAAUACUGAAAUCCACAGAACCAAAGAAUUAAACUGUUUUGUUAUAUUUGGUUCUAUGUUCUAAGAGAAGAACAUUUGUUUAGGCUUUUUUUCCAGGCAGCAUUUAAUUAGGCUUUAGGAGCAUAUCAUCUAAUAUGUGUCAUGAAUAUGCAAACACUAUGAACAAGUAAGCAAAAGUUAUAGGAGACGUAUCACAUUUCCUAUGCUGGUAGUUCAUCACCUUGGGAUGCAGCCAAAAAAACAUAUUUAUGAACACUGUCGAUCAUCGUCGUGCCUCAUGGACAAACCACAAAACUUGGCAAACACUUGAUAGGGAUGAUAUGCCUCUUUUCUAUGUGAGAACUGGUAAACCUGCUCUUCAUUAGAAUUAGAAUAUCGAUCCUUCAUAUCAUAUCAGUAUUUUUGCUUCACUUGACAAUUUUUUAUUCAGUAUAACAAGAGAGUGUUCGCUCUAACUUCAUGAGUUCAAUAAGCACGUUUCUUUUGCUUCUCAACAUAAGAAUUAUCAUACAUAUACAGUAGGUAUGAGAGGAAAACUGCUUCCAGUUCAGAUCCAUGUGGUGUUGCUAUACAUAUAUAAAAGGUAUGAGAGGAAAACUGCUUCCAGUUUAGAGCAAUGUGGCAUUGCCAUACAUAUACAGUAGUUAUGAGAGGAAAUGCUUCAGGUUCAGAGCUAGGUGCAGCCAAUUACAAAAAUCACAGACAUGAGAACGUAGAUUGCACGCAAUAUCCAAUUUCCCGUUAGGGUAGGCCUCUAAAAUCUACCAAAACUAUGUACUCCCUCCGUUCCCAAAUAUAAGUCUUUCUAGAGAUUCCAACAAGUGACUACAUACGGAGCAAAAUGAGUGAAUCUACACUCUAAAAUAUGUCUAUAUAUAUAUCCGUAUAUAGUAGUCCAUUUGAAAUGUCUAAAAAGACUUAUAUUUAGGAACGGAGUAGUAUAUGACAGGAAAGGUUAAAAAACAUUAUAUUACAGUGUUUUUCGUUUUCAGAACAAUACUAUGUUCUUUUCCUGCUUCUGAACAUUCAUCUUCAGAUUAACUUAUAUUAUGUAAAAAAGGCCUAACAACAUGAUCCACUGUUGGUCUUUUGUCCGCAACAACAAAAUCUUGCAAUUCCUACCAUGGUUAUUUAUAAGUCCAUCCCAAAAUGACAUGCCUAAAGUAAACCAGAUGUAUAUGUUUUGCCCAGAGAUAAAAGCUGGAAACAGUAACCUCUGAUAGAUUAUCAGCCAGUAAUAAAUAACAGACUCCACAUAAAUUUGGAAACAAAAUAAACAAAGAAGGUACCAUGUCGAACACAUUGAUGUGUGAAGUAAGAAAAUUAAGACAUCGCUGAAAAGCUUAUAGUCCACUUCAUGUUUUUUUUCCUAAAUGCCGACAAAUUAACUUUGCAUUCUUGCAGGUUGUAUACCUGAAAAUGGGAAAGACUAAAGAGGCAAAAUCAUACAUGUAAAUUUACAUUCUGGUUUCUCUUGGAUCUGCUACAUGCUAAGCUUCUAUAGUCCCAUUUGAAAUAAAUAAGGGGACAAUAUGAGGUUUUCUAGUCCACUCCAUGUCUAUCAACAAAUAGUCAAUACCAGCAGUAGCAGCAGUGCAACAAAUUCUUGAGUAAAGAAGAAAGUAUGACCUAGAUAAAACAUGCGUAAUCCAUGUUUAAGAAUCAUUCUUUAGGCCAUAUAAAAGGAUGACAUAUAUAUGCAAGGUAAAUCCGCUAAAUCAAUUCCCAAAGAAUUGAAUGAGCAGAUCAAAUGCAACAAUUCAGAGCAUAUUUGUAGAGGAAGUAAUGGAAAGACAUUGUAUUGCAGUUCUGUAACCAUUUCCUCAAUUCUAUGGAGAUGAAACCAGAGCGUAACCAAUAAUGAAACACAUGAACAUCAUAGGUGAACUAACCUGAUAAUUCCUAAGGAGUAUUCCAUCGAACAACCUGUGAGCAACCUAAAACCAAUGGCACAGGACAAUUCACUUGAUCUGGAGUGUGGCCAUCUUUGUGUAGGACAUGCUUCGACCAUGGUGAGGGAGAGGUCCAUGCGGCAAGUUUGUCUGCUGGGCGGUGGUCAACAAGAUGGGGACAUUGUCUUCUCCACCCGGUGCCAUCAGGGUUUGCUGGAAAAGGGAUGGUGCAGAAUUCACCCAUUGGUGGCACUAUCGUGCCGGCGACCACUUGCUGCCCUCUUUGUCGGCGGCCUAACCUUCACCCUUCUCUUCAUCGCCUCCCAUCACAAAAUUUUCCAUCGACGGCGAACUUGAUCCCCUCCCCUAUCAGUGUGAUUGCUGCUGCUAUCCACAACGGUCAUCGAUGGAAGGCGGUGUAUGUUGAAUAAAUAGUGGUGAGGAUGAGAGCCAUGGAAGUUGCAAUCAAGACUGAGCUGCCCGGGACUGUGCACAGGUGGUGCAGAUGGCAUGUUCUUAAGAAAGCAAAAGAGCACCUUGGUCCGCUGUACACCAGCAAGAGCGAGUUCAGGUCUGAAUUCCGCAAAGUAGUGAAUCACAUGAUAAGUGUGGAGGAAUUUGAGACUGCAUGGGGCAUGCUGAUUGAGAAGUACAAUUUGACCAUUACAAAACGCAGCUUUAAGAUAUAUGACAGAAGUGGGUGAAUUCAUACUUCGAAGGUGUCUUUUGUGCCAAGAUGACUAGCACACGGCGUAGCGAGAGUGCAGACAAUAUGUUAAAAGAUGUGCAUGCCACCAGCCAGUCCAAUGCAUGUGUUCGUGCGGCAGUACACGAGGCUUCAAUUCUACCGAGAACCAGAUGAGAGCUACCAAGAAAAGAGGACAAGGAUUGUAGAGUGGUGCAGUAAUGAGGACAAAUGUUGUGAUCGAGAGGCAUGCACGAGGUGCAACGGUGCCCUGCUCUCCAAUGCCACAGUUCUUGGAGUUUCUAGUGUGUGACUUAUGGGUGAACUCUGCUGUUGUUCCUCCUGAGUGUAAACUAGUUGUAUUUUAGAUGAUGAUGUGUCGUUUGAACUUAUAAAUUUGAUUUUCCCAAACAGUAGUACAGCCUGAAUGGUGAGACGGAUUUUUUCCACAUAGUACAACUCAAUGUGCUGACGACACCGGUGACUCCUAGAUAAUAGGCUUAAGUCAUCUCUGCAAGCUAUGUGUGCAAAGCAUCAAGUUAUUUU